GACGAACGCUGGCGGCGUGCUUAACACAUGCAAGUCGAACGGAAAGGCCCUUUUUUUGUGGGGUGCUUGAGUGGCGAACGGGUGAUUAACACGUGAGUAACCUGCCCUUGACUUUGGGAUAACUUCAGGAAACUGGGGCUAAUACCGGAUAUGAGCUCCUGCUGCAUGGUGGGGGUUGGAAAGUUUCGGCGGUUGGGGAUGGACUCGCGGCUUAUCAGCUUGUUGGUGGGGUAGUGGCUUACCAAGGCUUUGACGGGUAGCCGGCAUGAGAGGGUGACCGGCCACAUUGGGACUGAGAGACGGACCAGACUGGUACGGGGGGCAGCAGUGGGGAAUAUUGCACAGUGAGCGGAAGCCUGAUGCAGAAACGCCGCGUGCGGGAUGACGGCCUUCGGGGUGUAAACCGCUUUCGCCUGUGACGAAGCGUGAGUGACGGUAAUGUAUAAAGAAGCACCGGCUAACUACGUG
RNAcentral lists this ribosomal RNA (468 nucleotides) under uncultured bacterium. RNAcentral's name for it is "partial 16S ribosomal RNA". It matches the Rfam family "Bacterial small subunit ribosomal RNA", at positions 28 to 507 of the family's 1533-position model. The record is from RNAcentral.